CCUACGGGAGGCUGCAGUGAGGAAUAUUGGUCAAUGGGCGUAAGCCUGAACCAGCCAAGUCGCGUGAGGGAUGAAGGUUCUAUGGAUUGUAAACCUCUUUUAUAAGGGAAUAAAGUGUGGGACGUGUCCUAUUUUGUAUGUACCUUAUGAAUAAGGAUCGGCUAACUCCGUGCCAGCAGCCGCGGUAAUACGGAGGAUCCGAGCGUUAUCCGGAUUUAUUGGGUUUAAAGGGUGCGUAGGCGGCCUUUUAAGUCAGCGGUGAAAGUCUGGAGCUCAACCAUAGAAUUGCCGUUAAGACUGGGGAGCUAGAGUAUGUUUGAGGCAGGCGGAAUGCGUGGUGUAGCGGUGAAAUGCUUAGAUAUCACGCAGAACCCCGAUUGCGAAGGCAGCCUGCCAAGCCAUAACUGACGCUGAUGCACGAAAGCGUGGGGAGCAAACAGGAUUAGAUACCCCAGUAGUC
This 460-nucleotide ribosomal RNA is filed under the name uncultured bacterium. RNAcentral's name for it is "partial 16S ribosomal RNA". It matches the Rfam family "Bacterial small subunit ribosomal RNA", at positions 338 to 795 of the family's 1533-position model. The record is from RNAcentral.